This 398-nucleotide ribosomal RNA is filed under the name uncultured bacterium. RNAcentral's name for it is "partial 16S ribosomal RNA". It matches the Rfam family "Bacterial small subunit ribosomal RNA", at positions 360 to 776 of the family's 1533-position model. The record is from RNAcentral.
AAUAUUGCACAAUGGAGGAAACUCUGAUGCAGCGACGCCGCGUGAACGAUGAAGGCCUUCGGGUCGUAAAGUUCUGUCCUUGGGGACGAUAAUGACGGUACCCAAGGAGGAAGCCCCGGCUAACUACGUGCCAGCAGCCGCGGUAAUACGUAGGGGGCGCGCGUUGUCCGGAAUUAUUGGGCGUAAAGGGUUCGUAGGCGGUUAUUUAAGUCAGGUGUGAAAGGCAUAGGCUCAACCUGUGUAAGCACUUGAAACUGAAUGACUUGAGUUAAGGAGAGGAAAGUGGAAUUCCUAGUGUAGCGGUGAAAUGCGUAGAUAUUAGGAGGAAUACCAGUGGCGAAGGCGACUUUCUGGACUUAUACUGACGCUGAGGAACGAAAGCGUGGGGAGCAAACAGG